Molecule: ribosomal RNA, 2901 nt
Filed under: Escherichia coli
Lineage: Bacteria; Pseudomonadati; Pseudomonadota; Gammaproteobacteria; Enterobacterales; Enterobacteriaceae
Description: bacterial LSU rRNA
Rfam family: Bacterial large subunit ribosomal RNA
Source: RNAcentral
UUAAGCGACUAAGCGUACACGGUGGAUGCCCUGGCAGUCAGAGGCGAUGAAGGACGUGCUAAUCUGCGAUAAGCGUCGGUAAGGUGAUAUGAACCGUUAUAACCGGCGAUUUCCGAAUGGGGAAACCCAGUGUGUUUCGACACACUAUCAUUAACUGAAUCCAUAGGUUAAUGAGGCGAACCGGGGGAACUGAAACAUCUAAGUACCCCGAGGAAAAGAAAUCAACCGAGAUUCCCCCAGUAGCGGCGAGCGAACGGGGAGCAGCCCAGAGCCUGAAUCAGUGUGUGUGUUAGUGGAAGCGUCUGGAAAGGCGCGCGAUACAGGGUGACAGCCCCGUACACAAAAAUGCACAUGCUGUGAGCUCGAUGAGUAGGGCGGGACACGUGGUAUCCUGUCUGAAUAUGGGGGGACCAUCCUCCAAGGCUAAAUACUCCUGACUGACCGAUAGUGAACCAGUACCGUGAGGGAAAGGCGAAAAGAACCCCGGCGAGGGGAGUGAAAAAGAACCUGAAACCGUGUACGUACAAGCAGUGGGAGCACGCUUAGGCGUGUGACUGCGUACCUUUUGUAUAAUGGGUCAGCGACUUAUAUUCUGUAGCAAGGUUAACCGAAUAGGGGAGCCGAAGGGAAACCGAGUCUUAACUGGGCGUUAAGUUGCAGGGUAUAGACCCGAAACCCGGUGAUCUAGCCAUGGGCAGGUUGAAGGUUGGGUAACACUAACUGGAGGACCGAACCGACUAAUGUUGAAAAAUUAGCGGAUGACUUGUGGCUGGGGGUGAAAGGCCAAUCAAACCGGGAGAUAGCUGGUUCUCCCCGAAAGCUAUUUAGGUAGCGCCUCGUGAAUUCAUCUCCGGGGGUAGAGCACUGUUUCGGCAAGGGGGUCAUCCCGACUUACCAACCCGAUGCAAACUGCGAAUACCGGAGAAUGUUAUCACGGGAGACACACGGCGGGUGCUAACGUCCGUCGUGAAGAGGGAAACAACCCAGACCGCCAGCUAAGGUCCCAAAGUCAUGGUUAAGUGGGAAACGAUGUGGGAAGGCCCAGACAGCCAGGAUGUUGGCUUAGAAGCAGCCAUCAUUUAAAGAAAGCGUAAUAGCUCACUGGUCGAGUCGGCCUGCGCGGAAGAUGUAACGGGGCUAAACCAUGCACCGAAGCUGCGGCAGCGACACUAUGUGUUGUUGGGUAGGGGAGCGUUCUGUAAGCCUGUGAAGGUGUGCUGUGAGGCAUGCUGGAGGUAUCAGAAGUGCGAAUGCUGACAUAAGUAACGAUAAAGCGGGUGAAAAGCCCGCUCGCCGGAAGACCAAGGGUUCCUGUCCAACGUUAAUCGGGGCAGGGUGAGUCGACCCCUAAGGCGAGGCCGAAAGGCGUAGUCGAUGGGAAACAGGUUAAUAUUCCUGUACUUGGUGUUACUGCGAAGGGGGGACGGAGAAGGCUAUGUUGGCCGGGCGACGGUUGUCCCGGUUUAAGCGUGUAGGCUGGUUUUCCAGGCAAAUCCGGAAAAUCAAGGCUGAGGCGUGAUGACGAGGCACUACGGUGCUGAAGCAACAAAUGCCCUGCUUCCAGGAAAAGCCUCUAAGCAUCAGGUAACAUCAAAUCGUACCCCAAACCGACACAGGUGGUCAGGUAGAGAAUACCAAGGCGCUUGAGAGAACUCGGGUGAAGGAACUAGGCAAAAUGGUGCCGUAACUUCGGGAGAAGGCACGCUGAUAUGUAGGUGAAGCGACUUGCUCGUGGAGCUGAAAUCAGUCGAAGAUACCAGCUGGCUGCAACUGUUUAUUAAAAACACAGCACUGUGCAAACACGAAAGUGGACGUAUACGGUGUGACGCCUGCCCGGUGCCGGAAGGUUAAUUGAUGGGGUCAGCGCAAGCGAAGCUCUUGAUCGAAGCCCCGGUAAACGGCGGCCGUAACUAUAACGGUCCUAAGGUAGCGAAAUUCCUUGUCGGGUAAGUUCCGACCUGCACGAAUGGCGUAAUGAUGGCCAGGCUGUCUCCACCCGAGACUCAGUGAAAUUGAACUCGCUGUGAAGAUGCAGUGUACCCGCGGCAAGACGGAAAGACCCCGUGAACCUUUACUAUAGCUUGACACUGAACAUUGAGCCUUGAUGUGUAGGAUAGGUGGGAGGCUUUGAAGUGUGGACGCCAGUCUGCAUGGAGCCGACCUUGAAAUACCACCCUUUAAUGUUUGAUGUUCUAACGUUGACCCGUAAUCCGGGUUGCGGACAGUGUCUGGUGGGUAGUUUGACUGGGGCGGUCUCCUCCUAAAGAGUAACGGAGGAGCACGAAGGUUGGCUAAUCCUGGUCGGACAUCAGGAGGUUAGUGCAAUGGCAUAAGCCAGCUUGACUGCGAGCGUGACGGCGCGAGCAGGUGCGAAAGCAGGUCAUAGUGAUCCGGUGGUUCUGAAUGGAAGGGCCAUCGCUCAACGGAUAAAAGGUACUCCGGGGAUAACAGGCUGAUACCGCCCAAGAGUUCAUAUCGACGGCGGUGUUUGGCACCUCGAUGUCGGCUCAUCACAUCCUGGGGCUGAAGUAGGUCCCAAGGGUAUGGCUGUUCGCCAUUUAAAGUGGUACGCGAGCUGGGUUUAGAACGUCGUGAGACAGUUCGGUCCCUAUCUGCCGUGGGCGCUGGAGAACUGAGGGGGGCUGCUCCUAGUACGAGAGGACCGGAGUGGACGCAUCACUGGUGUUCGGGUUGUCAUGCCAAUGGCACUGCCCGGUAGCUAAAUGCGGAAGAGAUAAGUGCUGAAAGCAUCUAAGCACGAAACUUGCCCCGAGAUGAGUUCUCCCUGACUCCUUGAGAGUCCUGAAGGAACGUUGAAGACGACGACGUUGAUAGGCCGGGUGUGUAAGCGCAGCGAUGCGUUGAGCUAACCGGUACUAAUGAACCGUGAGGCUUAACCUU